This 81-nucleotide non-coding RNA is filed under the name uncultured Clostridium sp. RNAcentral's name for it is "SAM riboswitch (S box leader)". It matches the Rfam family "SAM riboswitch aptamer (S box leader)". From Rfam's summary of the family: The SAM riboswitch is found upstream of a number of genes which code for proteins involved in methionine or cysteine biosynthesis in Gram-positive bacteria. The SAM riboswitch acts at the level of transcription termination control. The record is from RNAcentral. Lineage: Bacteria; Bacillati; Bacillota; Clostridia; Eubacteriales; Clostridiaceae.
CUUAUCAAGAGAGAUGGAGGGACUGGCCCUAUGAAAUCCGGCAACCUACUGUGUGUGGUGCUAAAUCCAGUUAGAUAAGGA